GACUGCGUAGCUCAGUUGGAAGAGCAUUGGGCUAGUAUAUAUUCCAAAGGUCGUAGGUUCGAUUCCCACCGUGGCCG
Non-coding RNA from Paramuricea clavata, 77 nucleotides. Lineage: Eukaryota; Metazoa; Cnidaria; Anthozoa; Malacalcyonacea; Plexauridae. The record is from the annotation of a GenBank genome assembly.